CCUACGGGAGGCAGCAGUGGGGAAUAUUGGGCAAUGGAGGAAACUCUGACCCAGCGACGCCGCGUGCGGGAUGAAGGCCUUCGGGUUGUAAACCGCUUUCAGUAGGGAAGAAGCGAAAGUGACGGUACCUACAGAAGAAGCACCGGCUAACUAUGUGCCAGCAGCCGCGGUAAUACAUAGGGUGCAAGCGUUGUCCGGAAUUAUUGGGCGUAAAGAGCUCGUAGGUGGUUCGUCACGUCGGAUGUGAAAAUCUGGGGCUCAACCCCAGACCUGCAUUCGAUACGGGCGAUCUAGAGUGUGGUAGGGGAGACUGGAAUUCCUGGUGUAGCGGUGGAAUGCGCAGAUAUCAGGAGGAACACCAAUGGCGAAGGCAGGUCUCUGGGCCAUUACUGACACUGAGGAGCGAAAGCGUGGGGAGCGAACAGGAUUAGAUACCCUGGUAGUCCACGCCGUAAACGGUGGGCACUAGUUGUGGGAACCUUCCACGGUUUCUGCGACGCAGCUAACGCAUUAAGUGCCCCGCCUGGGGAGUACGAUCGCAAGNUUAAAACUCAAUGAAUUGACCGGNGNGAGAGNGCGAGCGACGACGAGGAGAG
RNAcentral lists this ribosomal RNA (596 nucleotides) under uncultured bacterium. RNAcentral's name for it is "bacterial SSU rRNA". It matches the Rfam family "Bacterial small subunit ribosomal RNA", at positions 338 to 944 of the family's 1533-position model. The record is from RNAcentral.